This 140-nucleotide ribosomal RNA is filed under the name uncultured eukaryote. RNAcentral's name for it is "partial 18S ribosomal RNA". It matches the Rfam family "Eukaryotic small subunit ribosomal RNA", at positions 1299 to 1458 of the family's 1831-position model. The record is from RNAcentral.
UGGUGGAGCGAUUUGUCUGGUUAAUUCCGAUAACGAACGAGACCUCAGCCUGCUAACUAGCUAUGUGGAUGUACCUCUCCACGGCCAGCUUCUUAGAGGGACUAUGGCCGCUUAGGCCAAGGAAGUUUGAGGCAAUAACA